Molecule: long non-coding RNA, 1194 nt
Filed under: Bos grunniens (domestic yak)
Lineage: Eukaryota; Metazoa; Chordata; Mammalia; Artiodactyla; Bovidae
Description: lncRNA (ENSBGRG00000014174.1)
Source: RNAcentral
GUGGACAUCUACAUCAUGACGCAGCCACUGUCGGGCAAGUGGAUCCACUUUGGCACCGAGGUCACCAACAGCUCUGGCCGCCUCACCUUCCCGGUGCCCCUGGAGCGUGCGCUGGGCGUCGGCGUUUACCAGUGCGCAUGGUGGUCAGGGGCGACCACACCUACGCCGAAUGCUACCUGAUCGUGUACGUGACGGGCCGUCCUGAUAUGCAGAAGCACCGCGUGGUGGCCUGGCUGUCGCAGCACAACUUCCCCACGGCGUCGUCUCCUUCUGCGAUGGUCUCACUCACGACCCACUCGUCAGAAGGCGAUGUUCCUGCAGAGCCUGGUGCAGGAGGUGUGGUGGUUGGGAGGCCCCGAACCCGUGAUUGCCCGAGAGGAGGCCCGCUUGUUCCCACCAGAUGGCCCUGGCUCCCAGCCUAACAGACCGCACAUCCCGCAAGGGUCUCUAGAGUCCUUGGGGCCAACUAGGGAGAUCCGGCUAGUCCCACCCCCAGCCAGACCUGGUGAUGGAGACUAAGCGGCUCCGCCCUAACCCUUCAGCACUGAACGCCCACCAAACCCCACCUCUGUCUCCGCCCGCUCCCUCUCCCCGUCCCUGGGCUCUGAUUGGCCUCUCCGGCCACAGGUGGAACUGAACCGUGGCCGCCUCGGGUCCCCAAAGACGUGGCCGUGUAUGCGGCGCUGGGCCUGCCCCAAGCCAGACCUACAUCGUGGGCCGUGCCGUGAGGAAGCUGCAGGCGCAGUGCCAGUUCCUGUCCGAUGGCUACGUGGCCCACCUGGGCCAGCUGGAGGCCGGCUCCACCCUCAUGCCACUUGGACCCUCAAGGGCCGCCCUGGCCAAGAGCAGCUAUGGUGGGCUGCCCUGUGGACUUCUUCGAAGCAGAGCCAGCUGCUCCGCUCGAGGGCCCCAGCCAGGCGGAGCGGAGGGCCCUGGGACGCCGCCCACCACCCUGGCCCAGGGGCAGGCGCGGAGCAUCAGCCUCAAGCUGGACAGCGAAGAGUGAGGCUCCAACUGUGGCUGGACUUGGGUUAUUUAUUCAUGCACUCAAGAGCCCCAGUGGAAGGCUGGGCCCUGGCCCCAUGGCUGGCCUGCAUCUGUUUGCCCUCAGGGAUAGUUCCUUCAUGUUGGGGACCCAGCCCUGGGGGCUGGAGGAGGGAGCAGCAAGGGUCCAGAGGCUUUUCCAGCGUGUAA